UGAACUGAAAGAAAAAGGCAAAAUUGGAAAUUCAUAUAACAUUUCAUUUAUUCAUAAUAAAAGACUUAUUAUGUGAUAGACAAGUGAAAAUAAGGGAUUACAAGGAAAAAGGAAAAAAUUACAUCAUUUUGGUAUGAUUGACUUUUUGGUCAACUGUUGACUUUUGGUCAACUUUUAACUUUUGGUCAAUUUUUGACUAUUGACUCAAUUUUGGAUCCUAAAUAUUCAUAGACCUAUUCCACUUUCAUUUAAUCACAAAAAUUCACAAUUUUCAUGAAAAAUUCAAUUAUGUCAUUAACAUGUUUCAUGAAAGGAUUCUCAACACUUUCCAUCCUUCAAGCUCUCUUUCCAUGACUCUUUCUCCUUCUUCCCAUAGUGCUUUAAGAAAAUUAUUCCACCACUUUGUUUGCCUUGCUACAAGAAAGAAAAUAAAAUGAUUCAAUCACCAAGCUCAUCAAUCAAAGUCAUCCAAAAUCUAUGGGAAAGUCACAUAAAAAUACUGCAUAAACACUUAGGGCCUGUUUGAAACACUUUUCAAUUUUAGUUCUUAAAACUUGUUUUUCAAAUCUAUUUAAAAAAACUAUUUUUAAGAAGAAAAUUAACAAAAAAUUUGUUUGAUAAACUAAUUUUUAAAAACUGUUUUGAGAAUAUGAAAAUGAAAAAACUUGUUUGAUAAUCUAAUCUUUUAAUAGUAUUUUAAGAAGAGAAUAAAAAUGCAUAUUUUGUCAUUUACUUUUAAAAUAUAUUUUAUUGUAUGAAAUAUUACAAAAUUAAAAAAAUUAAUUGAUAUUUGAUCGAAUACAAAUAAUUGGGUUAAAUCAAUUUUUAAUUUUACAAAUCACAUAACACUUGUUUGUAAUAAUAAUAAGAAAAAAACAAGUAAAAAAUGAGAUUCCACGUUUAAUAGAAAAAAAAUUAUAUAGUCAAAAUAAUUAAGAAACACAAAAAAAAUUAAGUAAAAUAAAUAAACGUAUUUGAAAAGGUUACUUAUACAUAAAAAGAGCAUAAAUAAAAGAAAUAACAUAUUCUUUCAAAUACGUUUUUCUAUUUUAUUUUUAAAAUAUAAAAAUCAUUAAAAUUACAUUAAUGCUAUUAAUGAAAAUUAUAAAUUUUUAUGUUUUUUCUUCAAGUUUUAUAAUACUAAAAACUAAAAAGUAAGAAGCAAAACACAACUAAACUGUUUCACUUUUUUGCUUUUAAAAACUGAAAAAUANUUAUAAUACUAAAAACUAAAAAGUAAGAAGCAAAACACAACUAAACUGUUUCACUUUUUUGCUUUUAAAAACUGAAAAAUAGAAAAGAGUUUUUAAAAACACUUUUGCAAAACAUUAUAUUCAAACAUGUUUUUAAAUUUUAAAUUUUCAAAAACUAAAAAAGAGUUUUUAAGAUGCAUUUCAAACAGGCCCUUAGAAAUUUUGGCAUGACCUCUCUAUUUUUCCCAUUUAUCCAAACCUAUUCAUACAAAAAAAAAUGGAAUUUGAUCCAUAAUUUGCACCAUUCCCAAGCAUGGAUCAAUUCCAAAAAGCACUUGAAGAUGUAGGAUGAUCCGCAAAACAAUCCAAUUUUCAAAACCAUUAAAAACCAAAGCAUAAAUUCAUUAUUUUCAAGUUCCAAGUUUGUGAUCAUUCACCUUACCCCUAAACUUGGUACUUAUGCUAAAAUCAAACAUGUCUUACUCCUAACUACCUAUUUUAACCCAAAACUAUGUAUUUACUCAUUUGUCCUUAACCUCUCUACCUAACUCUAACUUCUUUAAAGUUCACACACUAACACAAAAUUAAGCAAGUUUUCAUCAAACUUAAUCAUUGAUAACAAUUAAUCUAAUAGCUAAGUUUAUUGAUCCGAAACUAAUUUUUGAUUAAUUUCUAACCAUUGAUAAAGUAAUGAGUUGGAUCAUAAUCCAAUUAAUCAUAAUUAACCAAAAAAUCUAUAUAAACUUUAUAUUUUCCCAACUUUAGGGGGUUAAGAACUUUAACCAUUUUUUGCUUUUAACCUCUAAGUUUUCUCUCAACCUUUUCACCAUUUCCAUAACUUCUACCAAAGUUCACCACCAUUACCAUAUAUAAUUUCAUAUUGAAAUUCUAGUUUUGUUAUAACUCAAUCACAAGCACUCAACAAUCAUCAUUCAACAAUUCAAAAUUCAUCAUUCAACAAUUCAAGAUUGACCACAAUUCAACAAUUCAAGUGUUCAUCAAUUUUCAACAAUUUCAUCAACAUUCAAGCAUGAAUCACUUUUCUAUCAUCUCCUAAUUUUCAUCUUCUAAUCAUCAACAUUCAUCUCAUCAUUUAGAUUAUUGGAAGCAUAAUAAAAUGAUUACCUCUUGAAGUUUUUUUUCGGUAAAAUUUCAACAUGCACCGGAGCAAAUCUAGACUCCGUUGGUAAGUCUUGAACUUUCACCAUUUCUAUACCAUUGCCAUAAAUCGUCUUGUGUGAUUGAUAUUUUUAAUUGCACGUGGUAGAGCCUUUAGAUUAUUCUAUUGUUUUAAGGUUAAUUUGAUCUCAAAAAGUAGUUUAAUUAUUCAAGAAUUUACUAUUAAAGUAGCAUGAAAAUGAACAUAACGUAGUUUUUCCUAUAAUAUAACCAAGAUUUAUACUUAACAUAGCAAUAGAGUUGUAGUUAGUAUAAAAAUAACUUUGACUUAGGCAUAGAACAAAAUAGCUUUUUUACAUAAGCACUUAUUUCCAAAGAAAACUAAAGUUCAAAUAACAUGGGAGUUAGCUUAGUAAGAAUUAUCCAACUCUUAGCAUAACCAUUGACAUAUAAUUAACAUAUUUGACAUAGAAAUUAAACAAGUCCAAAACAAAAAAUUAACUCCAUAAAAACAAACAACUUUUUUCCAUUGUACUUAUUUGCAUUUACAAAAAAUCAACAUUUCAAGUAGUAAUUAGCAUAUGAAAGCUUCUAGCAUAAUUUUAGCAUUCAAUUUACAUUGAGUUAGCAUUAAUACAUUAUUAGAAUAAUAUCUUUUUUUUCUACAAAUUCCAAACAUGUCUUAACAUAAAAAUCAUCUUUUUCUUGAAUCUCAACAUCUCUAAUCCAUCACAAACAAUGAAAAUCAUUAAAAAUAAACACUCAAUCAUGAAAACUGAUAAAAAUCCAAGCAUAAAACAGUUUUAUUUGAACAAUUUUGAGCAAGAUUUGAAUUUUUCUACUUACCCCAAAAACCUUGAAAAAGUAUCAAUGGAGUUUGGAAGAGUUGGAGAAGAUAUAAAAUCACAACACCUAAGGGGGAUGAGGUAUUUCAAGAACUAGUCCAAUCUAGUGAACCGGUCGGCCGAUCCGGUUCG
RNAcentral lists this long non-coding RNA (3289 nucleotides) under Lathyrus oleraceus (garden pea). RNAcentral's name for it is "Pisum sativum (pea) long non-coding RNA (PSAT_LNC039831)". Lineage: Eukaryota; Viridiplantae; Streptophyta; Magnoliopsida; Fabales; Fabaceae. The record is from RNAcentral.